AAAAACAUGGAGCGUUGGAUAUGGCCUGAUUAAUUGACGUGGCAGAUCCAACAAUCCUCGGGUUUGGGUGCACGAUGGAAAUUAGUAGAAAUGAAACAUGGGAUCUAAUUCAAAUUGAAUCAAUCUAAACAUUUCAAAUUUCCAACGUGUCCAGUCAAACUCAGAUGAUCUCAGAUACUCUGAUCAUCUUCUCUGAUGGUCUCUCAUCGAAGUUUCAUCGUUUGGUAAAUUCAGAACACGAGAC
RNAcentral lists this long non-coding RNA (244 nucleotides) under Lathyrus oleraceus (garden pea). RNAcentral describes it as "Pisum sativum (pea) long non-coding RNA (PSAT_LNC007560)". Lineage: Eukaryota; Viridiplantae; Streptophyta; Magnoliopsida; Fabales; Fabaceae. The record is from RNAcentral.